Molecule: non-coding RNA, 234 nt
Filed under: Candidatus Atribacteria bacterium MT.SAG.1
Lineage: Bacteria; Pseudomonadati; Atribacterota
Description: 6S / SsrS RNA
Rfam family: 6S / SsrS RNA
About the family: E. coli 6S RNA was the first non coding RNA to be sequenced, but its function was unknown until recently. It consists of 184 nucleotides that fold into an extended hairpin structure with a large single-stranded internal bulge. The 6S RNA specifically associates with RNA polymerase holoenzyme containing the sigma70 specificity factor.
Source: Rfam by way of RNAcentral
AUUACCCUGCUGUGUUCGUGCUGACUAAUUAAGUUUUGAACCAACACUUAUAUAAAAGGGGUCGAGUUCUCAAUAUUAUACGUACGCCUGAGGUAGGUCUUCUUCAGCUUGAAGCAAGGCAAAUACCUAACGUUAACUAAUUUGGUUGAUGCGGAAACGUAAAACAUUUAGAUAGACACCCACCUGUUGGGGACAGGUAUCAAAACCUAAAGCACACGACAUAGCGGGGUUUUU